GUGUCAGCAGCCGCGGUAAUACGGAAUGUGCAAACGUUAUUCGGAAUCACUGGGCUUAAAGAGUCUGUAGGCGGUUUGUUAGGUGAGGUGUGAAAUCCCUCGGCCCAACCGAGGAAUUGCGCUUCAAACCGGCGAGCUAGAGGAGGAUAGAGGUGGGCGGAACUGAUGGUGGAGCGGUGAAAUGCGUUGAUAUCAUCAGGAACACCGGAGGCGAAAGCGGUCCACUGGGUCCUUUCUGACGCUGAUGGACGAAAGCUAGGGGAGCGAACGGGAUUAGAUACCCCGGUAGUCCUAGCCUUAAACGAUGAGCACUAGACCGAAGAAUCUCCACGAUUUUUUGGUCGUAGCGAAAGUGUUAAGUGCUCCGCCUGGGGAGUAUGGUCGCAAGGCUGAA
This 394-nucleotide ribosomal RNA is filed under the name uncultured bacterium. Its description in RNAcentral is "bacterial SSU rRNA". It matches the Rfam family "Bacterial small subunit ribosomal RNA", at positions 505 to 898 of the family's 1533-position model. The record is from RNAcentral.